GGCCGCGGUAUUUUGACCGUGCGAAGGUAGCAUAAUUAUUAGUUUUUUAAUUGAAAGCUGGAAUGAAGGGUUGAACAAAAAAUAAACUGUCUUUAUUUAAUGAAUUGAAUUUAAUUUUUAAGUGAUAAAGCUUAGAUUUAAUGAGGGGACGAUAAGACCCUAUAAAGCUUUACAUUUUUAUGAUAAAUAUUUGAUUAUAUUAUAUAAUUUUAUUUUAAAGUUGUUUUGUUGGGGUGACAUAAAUAUAAAUAGUAACUGUUUAUUAUAUAUUUCUAUAAUAUUAGGAGUUGUUAAUAGAUCUUUUAGUAAGAAUUAAAAAAUUAAGUUACUUUAGGGAUAACAGUGUAAUUUUUCUUGAGAGUUCAUAUCGACAGGAAGACUUGCUACCUCGAUGUUGAAUUAAGGUAUCCUAGUUGGUGUAGUUGCUAUAAAUAGGAGGUCUGUUCGACCUUUAAAUCCUUACAUGAUUUGAGUUCAAA
RNAcentral lists this ribosomal RNA (479 nucleotides) under Syncarida sp. MGA-2011a. RNAcentral's name for it is "partial 16S ribosomal RNA". It matches the Rfam family "Bacterial large subunit ribosomal RNA", at positions 1929 to 2615 of the family's 2925-position model. Lineage: Eukaryota; Metazoa; Arthropoda; Malacostraca. The record is from RNAcentral.